Sorghum bicolor (sorghum) is the source of this 1279-nucleotide long non-coding RNA. RefSeq lists it as uncharacterized. Lineage: Eukaryota; Viridiplantae; Streptophyta; Magnoliopsida; Poales; Poaceae. The transcript has 4 exons. The record is from RefSeq and is a predicted model, not a curated record.
CCCUCCCCAUCCCCUCCCCUCCCCGAUCCCCUUCCCCUUUCCACCGUGAGCAGCCCCUCCGAGGACAGCGGGCAUCGCAGAGGCAUUCUCCCCCUCGCCUUCCUCCCGAGACGCAGCCUCUUCGCCCUCCGCCGCACAGGACGACGCUUCCGAGCACACUCUCCUCCCACGCACCGGGACUCCCCUGCGCCUCAGUGCCCUGAGAAGUGGCGACCUCGCCUCGGCACUCGCAAGCGCAACCCUUGUCGCCACAGUCACCGCCAGUGGCCUCUUGGCAGCAGGAGGCAGCGUCCAUGGUCGGGGGCGUCGAUGGGAAGGAGAAGCUGCGCCACGGAGGAGAAGCUGCGCCAGCGGCAGGCCGUCUCAGAUAAACACAAUUCAUCACCCGCCAUCCUCACCAUUGCCAUCAUGUGCUGCCCUCACCCUUGCCAUGGAGCCGGCGGUGCCUGCGCUGCUGGUGGGGCUCGGCAAGGACGACCACCGCGAGGGGCUACACCCGACGCCGAAGCACAUCGCCAAGGCCUUCCGUGACGGCAACCAAGAUCAAGAGUUGGAGAUUGUGCUGCUCUGCUAAAAGUUUGAAGAAGGUGAAGUUGUGGUGUUUUGCUUGUUAGAGUUUGCACUUUGAGUUUCUGUUCAACUGCUCCUAUGCGAUUGUUGUCUUCUCAAUCUGUCUCAACAACCAUGGCUGGGCAAACAGGCAAGGUAAUGAAAUGAAAUAUGAUAGAUAAGAACUCAGUAGGUGAAGCAACAAAAGAGAAGCUACUGGCGUCUUAUCAGCAGCAAGAGUCUCCAGCUUCUGUGAUGGUCUGAUACUGAUGGACAAUGAUUCUUCAGUUGUCUCUUUACUUCUUUAGUUUCUAAUAAUGAUGAGUCACCGGUUCUAGAUGGGGACUCUGAUGAGUUCAAAGUGGAGGAAAACUUGGAUGGUAAUGGGAAUAAGGAAAAGAAAACGUCUUAGAAGAUCAGUAUAGGUGACGGCUUUGCUUCUUCAUAAGACCAUUUUUCAUCUAAAAGUCUGGCGUCUGGCCCGAAACCGUGAAGCUGCUAGGAAAAAUAGUCUAAGAAAAAAGGUAGAAGAGAAGCAAUAUUACCCAUGUGAGAGGCACAUAUAUUUGAAUCUGUAUAUAGGAUGAUAUAGAGAUAUGAUGGAACUUAUUCGUAGAAUUAUUAGUGCACGAAAGAAAUAGAUAUACUAGAGAAAGAUUACAGUAGAGUUUGUGAGCCUACGACAUCGCACUCUCUGUGACUAUAUUAAUUUUACGAAUUUUGUUUUUUA